This 431-nucleotide ribosomal RNA is filed under the name uncultured bacterium. Its description in RNAcentral is "partial 16S ribosomal RNA". It matches the Rfam family "Bacterial small subunit ribosomal RNA", at positions 29 to 507 of the family's 1533-position model. The record is from RNAcentral.
AACGAACGCUGGCGGCAGGCUUAACACAUGCAAGUCGAGCGCCCCGCAAGGGGAGCGGCCGACGGGUGAGUAACGCGUGGGAACGUACCUUUUGGUUCGGAACAACUCCGGGACACUGGAGCUAAUACCGGAUAAGCCCUAACGGGGAAAGAUUUAUCGCCGAAAGAUCGGCCCGCGUCUGAUUAGCUAGUUGGUGAGGUAACGGCUCACCAAGGCGACGAUCAGUAGCUGGUCUGAGAGGAUGAUCAGCCACACUGGGACUGAGACACGGCCCAGACUCCUACGGGAGGCAGCAGUGGGGAAUAUUGGACAAUGGGCGCAAGCCUGAUCCAGCCAUGCCGCGUGAGUGAUGAAGGCCUUAGGGUUGUAAAGCUCUUUUGUCCGGGAAGAUAAUGACUGUACCGGAAGAAUAAGCCCCGGCUAACUUCGUG